This 497-nucleotide ribosomal RNA is filed under the name uncultured bacterium. RNAcentral describes it as "partial 16S ribosomal RNA". It matches the Rfam family "Bacterial small subunit ribosomal RNA", at positions 28 to 507 of the family's 1533-position model. The record is from RNAcentral.
GACGAACGCUGGCGGCGUGCCUAAUACAUGCAAGUUGAGCGAUGAAGCUUGGUGCUUGCACCUAUUUGAAGAGCGGCGAACGGGUGAGUAACGCGUGGGGAAUCUGCCUUUGAGCGGGGGACAACAUCUGGAAACGAAUGCUAAUACCGCAUAACAACUUUAAACAUAAGUUUUAAGUUUGAAAGAUGCCAUUGCAUCACUCAAUGAUGAUCCCUCGUUGGAUUAGCUAGUUGGUGAGGUAAACGCUUACCAAGGCGAUGAUACAUAGCCGACCUGAGAGGGGGAUCGGCCCCAAUGGGACUGGGACACGGCCCAAAAUCCUACGGGAGGCAGCCGGAGGGGAACUUCCGGCAUUGACGAAAGUCUGACCGAGCAAAGCCGCGGGAGUGAAGAAGGUUUUCGGAUCCUAAAAAUCCGUUGGUAGGGAAGAACGAUGGUGGGAAUGGAAAGCUCAUCAAGUGACGGUAACUACCCAGAAAGGGACGGCUAACUACGUG